Molecule: transfer RNA, 72 nt
Organism: Anaeromyces robustus
Lineage: Eukaryota; Fungi; Neocallimastigomycota; Neocallimastigomycetes; Neocallimastigales; Neocallimastigaceae
Rfam family: tRNA
About the family: Transfer RNA (tRNA) molecules are approximately 80 nucleotides in length. Their secondary structure includes four short double-helical elements and three loops (D, anti-codon, and T loops).
Source: Rfam
GCUUCUAUAGUGUAAUGGUCAGCACCUUGGACUCUGAAUCCAAUAAUCCGAGUUCGAAUCUCGGUAGAAGCU